UCCGGUUUGACACCGGCAGUCUCCUAUGAGUCCCCGACAUAACUCGCUGGCAACAUAGGAUAGGGGUUGCGCUCGUUGCGGGACUUAACCCAACACCUCACGGCACGAGCUGACGACAACCAUGCACCACCUGUAUAGGACGCCGAAGCACACCAUAUCUCUAUGGCUUUUCCCUAUAUUUCAAGCCCUGGUAAGGUUCUUCGCGUUGCAUCGAAUUAAGCCAUAUGCUCCACCGCUUGUGCGGGCCCCCGCCAAUUCCUUUGAGUUUCAACCUUGCGGCCGUAGUUCCCAGGCGGGGUGCUUAAUGCGUUAGCUGCGGCACGAACGGCGUGGAAGGUGGGGAUGACGUUACUUACAGCGUAC
RNAcentral lists this unclassified non-coding RNA (363 nucleotides) under uncultured Euzebyaceae bacterium. Its description in RNAcentral is "contains 16S-23S intergenic spacer region". Lineage: Bacteria; Bacillati; Actinomycetota; Nitriliruptoria; Euzebyales; Euzebyaceae. The record is from RNAcentral.